GACGAACGCUGGCGGCGUGCUUAACACAUGCAAGUCGAACGGAAAGGCCCUGCUUUUGUGGGGUGCUCGAUUGGCGAACGGGUGAGUAACACGUGAGUAACCUGCCCUUGACUUUGGGAUAACUUCAGGAAACUGGGGCUAAUACCGGAUAGGAGCUCCUGCUGCAUGGUGGGGGUUGGAAAGUUUCGGCGGUUGGGGAUGGACUCGCGGCUUAUCAGCUUGUUGGUGGGGUAGUGGCUUACCAAGGCUUUGACGGGUAGCCGGCCUGAGAGGGUGACCGGCGACAUUGGGACUGAGAGACGGCCCAGACGCCUACGGGAGGCAGCAGUGGGGAAUAUUGCACAAUGGGCGGAAGCCUGAUGCAGCAACGCCGCGUGCGGGAUGACGGCCUUCGGGUUGUAAACCGCUUUCGCCUGUGACGAAGCGUGAGUGACGGUAAUGGGUAAAGAAGCACCGGCUAACUACGUG
RNAcentral lists this ribosomal RNA (468 nucleotides) under uncultured bacterium. RNAcentral's name for it is "partial 16S ribosomal RNA". It matches the Rfam family "Bacterial small subunit ribosomal RNA", at positions 28 to 507 of the family's 1533-position model. The record is from RNAcentral.